GAGACAAUCUAGCGUGGCUUGAGGUGGC
Molecule: non-coding RNA, 28 nt
Filed under: Homo sapiens (human)
Lineage: Eukaryota; Metazoa; Chordata; Mammalia; Primates; Hominidae
Source: RNAcentral